AUUGAACGCUGGCGGUAUGCCUUACACAUGCAAGUCGAACGGUAACAGGUCUUCGGAUGCUGACGAGUGGCGAACGGGCGAGUAAUACAUCGGAACGUGCCUAGUAGUGGGGGAUAACUACUCGAAAGAGUGGCUAAUACCGCAUGAGAUCUACGGAUGAAAGCAGGGGAUCGCAAGACCUUGUGCUACUAGAGCGGCCGAUGGCAGAUUGGGUAGUUGGUGGGAUAAAAGCUUACCAAGCCGACGAUCUGUAGCUGGUCUGAGAGGACGAUCAGCCACACUGGGACUGAGACACGGCCCAGACUCCUACGGGAGGCAGCAGUGGGGAAUUUUGGACAAUGGGCGAAAGCCUGCUCCAGCAAUGCCGCGUGCAGGAUGAAGGCCUUCGGGUUGUAAACUGCUUUUGUACGGAACGAAAAGCCCCGGGUUAAUACCCUGGGGUCAUGACGGUACCGUAAGAAUAAGCACCGGCUAACUACGUGCCAGCAGCCGCGGUAA
This 498-nucleotide ribosomal RNA is filed under the name uncultured bacterium. Its description in RNAcentral is "partial 16S ribosomal RNA". It matches the Rfam family "Bacterial small subunit ribosomal RNA", at positions 30 to 523 of the family's 1533-position model. The record is from RNAcentral.